AGACAGCAGCCGCCGCGGUAACACGUAGGGUGCAAGCGUUAAUCGGAAUUACUGGGCGUAAAGCGUGCGCAGGCGGUUAUAUAAGACAGAUGUGAAAUCCCCGGGCUCAACCUGGGAACUGCAUUUGUGACUGUAUAGCUAGAGUACGGCAGAGGGGGAUGGAAUUCCGCGUGUAGCAGUGAAAUGCGUAGAUAUGCGGAGGAACACCGAUGGCGAAGGCAAUCCCCUGGGCCUGUACUGACGCUCAUGCACGAAAGCGUGGGGAGCAAACAGGAUUAGAUACCCCAGUAGUCCCUGUCUCUUAUAC
RNAcentral lists this ribosomal RNA (307 nucleotides) under uncultured bacterium. RNAcentral describes it as "partial 16S ribosomal RNA". It matches the Rfam family "Bacterial small subunit ribosomal RNA", at positions 506 to 807 of the family's 1533-position model. The record is from RNAcentral.